Molecule: ribosomal RNA, 504 nt
Filed under: uncultured Glomus
Lineage: Eukaryota; Fungi; Glomeromycota; Glomeromycetes; Glomerales; Glomeraceae
Description: SSU rRNA
Rfam family: Eukaryotic small subunit ribosomal RNA
Source: RNAcentral
CGCAGCCGCGGUAAUUCCAGCUCCAAUAGCGUAUAUUAAAGUUGUUGCAGUUAAAAAGCUCGUAGUUGAAUUUCGGGAUCAAUUUAUUGGUCGUGCUAUUGUACGUACUGGUAUUAUUGAUUCCUACCUUCUGACGAACCAUGAUGUCAUUAAUUUGGUGUCUUGGGGAAUCAGGACUGUUACUUUGAAAAAAUUAGAGUGUUUAAAGCAGGCUCACGCUUGAAUACAUUAGCAUGGAAUAACGAAAUAGGACGUUUGAUUCUAUUUUGUUGGUUUCUAGGAUCGACGUAAUGAUUAAUAGGGAUAGUUGGGGGCAUUAGUAUUCAAUUGUCAGAGGUGAAAUUCUUGGAUUUAUUGAAGACUAACUACUGCGAAAGCAUUUGCCAAGGAUGUUUUCAUUAAUCAAGAACGAAAGUUAGGGGAUCGAAGACGAUCAGAUACCGUCGUAGUCUUAACCAUAAACUAUGCCGACUAGGGAUCGGAUGAUGUUAAUUUUAAUGUACU